RNAcentral lists this ribosomal RNA (493 nucleotides) under uncultured bacterium. RNAcentral's name for it is "partial 16S ribosomal RNA". It matches the Rfam family "Bacterial small subunit ribosomal RNA", at positions 30 to 523 of the family's 1533-position model. The record is from RNAcentral.
AUUGAACGCUGGCGGCAUGCUUUACACAUGCAAGUCGAACGGUAACAGGUUAAGCUGACGAGUGGCGAACGGGUGAGUAAUGCAUCGGAACGUGCCCGGUCGUGGGGGAUAACACUUCGAAAGAAGUGCUAAUACCGCAUACGAUCUAAGGAUGAAAGCGGGGGACCGUAAGGCCUCGCGCGAUUGGAGCGGCCGAUGUCAGAUUAGGUAGUUGGUGGGGUAAAGGCCCAACAAGCCGACGAUCUGUAGCUGGUCUGAGAGGACGCCAAGCCCCACUGGGACUGAGACACGGCCCAGACUCCUACGGGAGGCAGCAGUGGGGAAUUUUGGACAAUGGGCGCAAGCCUGAUCCAGCAAUGCCGCGUGCAGGAAGAAGGCCUUCGGGUUGUAAACUGCUUUUGUACGGAGCGAAAAGGCUCUCUCUAAUACAGGGGGCUGAUGACGGUACCGUAAGAAUAAGCACCGGCUAACUACGUGCCAGCAGCCGCCGUAA